UGGAACCGCUGCUUCGACUUUUACUAAGCAGCGCUCCUAACCUUCUCGCAAAUUUUGCGGCCCCCACAGG
This 70-nucleotide small nuclear RNA is filed under the name Leishmania donovani. RNAcentral describes it as "small nuclear RNA, U5 snRNA". The record is from RNAcentral. RNAcentral also lists the same sequence under 1 other name. Lineage: Eukaryota; Euglenozoa; Kinetoplastea; Trypanosomatida; Trypanosomatidae.